AAACUGAGAUGUUUGUAGUUUUUAUGUAGGUUUAAUAAAUAAAACCUAGCAUUAUGAUUAGAUUUAUAAUGACGGCGCAAAUAACCUAAAAUUUAUAUCAUGGUGAUUUUGCAUAAAGUGCCACAGAGACGAGUAUUAAUGAAAAUUAAUAGUGAAACGUUGGUAAACCCCAUAAGUG
Molecule: RNase P RNA, 178 nt
Filed under: Mycoplasmoides fastidiosum
Lineage: Bacteria; Bacillati; Mycoplasmatota; Mycoplasmoidales; Mycoplasmoidaceae
Description: Mycoplasma fastidiosum partial ribonuclease P RNA
Rfam family: Bacterial RNase P class B
About the family: Ribonuclease P (RNase P) is a ubiquitous endoribonuclease, found in archaea, bacteria and eukarya as well as chloroplasts and mitochondria. Its best characterised activity is the generation of mature 5'-ends of tRNAs by cleaving the 5'-leader elements of precursor-tRNAs.
Source: RNAcentral